RNAcentral lists this ribosomal RNA (1062 nucleotides) under Triticum aestivum (bread wheat). Its description in RNAcentral is "partial small subunit ribosomal RNA". The record is from RNAcentral. Lineage: Eukaryota; Viridiplantae; Streptophyta; Magnoliopsida; Poales; Poaceae.
AUGUCCACCAUCCCAGUCGCCAAAGCUGUAGCCGCACCGAGUGUGCAAGAGAUAAAGCAAAGCCGCGAGGAACCCAUGGGCGAUCUCAUGGUCGCGGACGUUGAUGCGGCUGCGCGGCCGCCGCCGUCCAAGUCGGACAACCUCUUCAUGCAGAUCGCCGUCCACCCGGACGGUGCCGUCACGCGGCCCGUCGUCCCCACCAUCCCGGCUUCCGACGCCGGCAGCGGGGCGGCCGUCUUCAGCAGGGACGUGCCCCUCGACACCUCUCUUGGCACGUACAUCCGGCUAUACCUCCCCAACCCCGUCCCGUCGUCGACGAAGCUCCCCGUCAUCCUCUACUUCCACGGCGGCGGCUUCGUUGUCUUCAACGCCGACACCGCCUUCUACCACGCCUCCUGCGAGGCCAUGGCGGCGGCCGUACCGGCCAUCGUCGCCUCCCUCGACUACCGCCUCGCACCCGAGCACCGCCUGCCCGCCGCCUAUGACGACGCCGUCGCGGCCGUGAUGUGGCUCCGUGACGUGGCGCCCCAGGACCCCUGGAUCGCCGAGCACGGCGACCUCGCCUGGUGCUUCGUCAUGGGCAGCAGCUCCGGCGGGAACAUGGCGUUCAACGCCGGCGUCCGGACCAAGGGCAUCGAUCUGAGCCCCGUCGCGGUGCGCGGGCUCCUGCUGCACCAGCCGUACCUCGGCGGCGUCGAGCGGACGCCGUCCGAGGAGAGGUCGGAGGACGACUUCAUGGUGCCGCUGGAGGCCAACGACAAGCUCUGGAGCCUCGCACUGCCGCUGGGCGCGGACCGCGACCACGAGUUCAGCAAUCCGGAAAAGGCGGUGGCACAGGAAGCCGUGGUCGGCCUGCCGCGGUGCCUGGUGUCCGGGAGCGACGGCGACCCACUGAUCGACAGGCAGAGAGGGUUCGCCACGUGGCUGCGGGACAGUGGCGUGGAGGUCGUCGCCAAGACGGACGGCUCCGGGUUCCACGCUGCGGAGCUCUUCGUGCCAGAGAAGGCCGAGGAGAUGUUCGCGCUGGUUCGCGAUUUCGUAUCCGCUGGCAGCGAUGCUUGA